AUCCAGCUGACGAGUCCCAAAUAGGACGGAACGCGCGUUCUGGAU
This is a non-coding RNA of Schistosoma rodhaini, 45 nucleotides long. The record is from Rfam. NCBI's taxonomy places the organism in Eukaryota, Metazoa, Platyhelminthes, Trematoda, Strigeidida, Schistosomatidae.